GUAGUGAUAUGCUUGUUUCAAAGAUUAAGCCAUGCAUGUCUAAGUAUAAGCGAACUUAUACAGUGAAACUGCGGAUGGCUCAUUAAAACAGUUUGAAUUUAUUUGAUGAAUGUAUGAGAAUACUACUUGGAUAACCGUAGUAAUUCUAGAGCUAAUACAUGCAACGACGCCCGACCGUUUCACUACGGAAGGGCUGUAUUUAUUGGAUACCAAAACCAUCCUUCCCUCGGGAAGUUUUGUUUGAUGAUUCACAAUAACUGAUCGGAUCGCCACUGUGGUGGCGACAGGUCAUUCAACAUUCUGCCCUAUCAGCUUUCGAUGGUUGUGUAGUGGACAACCAUGGCCAUAACGGGUAACGGAGAAUCAGGGUUCGACUCCGGAGAAGGAGCUUGAGAAUUGGCUACUACAUCUAAGGAAGGCAGCAGGCGCGCAAAUUACCCAAUCCCGAUUCGGGGAGGUAGUGACAAAAAAUAACAAUACCGGGCCUUUUUGGGCUUGGUAAUUGGAAUGAGGGAGAGUUAAACGGACCAUCGAGUAUCCAUUGGAGGGCAAGUCUGGUGCCAGCAGCUGCGGUAAUACCAGCUCCAAUAGCGUAUAUUAAAGUUGUUGCAGUUAAAAAGCUCGUAGUUGGACUUGUGUGCGCUGUCCGCGGGUGGCCUGCGCCCAAAAGGGCGUUUCGGUUCGGCCCCGGUGGCGCCUUGAAAUCUGCAGCUGAGGGGACGUUGGCCUUAACUGGUCGGCGACCGCACGCCGGCUGCUCGGUUACUGUGAGAAAAUUAGAGUGUUCAAGGCAGGCAUUGGGUGCAAUUGAAUACAUUAGCAUGGAAUAAUAAAAUAUGGCUCCUGCCGUAUUUUGUUGGUUUUGACUGGUGGGAGUAAUGAUUGAUAGGGACGGUUGGGGGUGCUAGUAUUGAGCGGCCAGAGGUGAAAUUCAUGGAUUCGCUCAAGACUAACUUAUGCGAAAGCAUUCACCAAGGACGUCCUCUUUAAUCAAGAACGAAAGUUGGGGGGUCGAAGACGAUCAGGUACCGUCGUAGUCUCAACCAUAAACUAUGUCGACUUGGGAUCGGCGGUAGUUUUUUCAUUAAGACACUGUCGGGACCACGGGAGAAAUCAAAGUGUCUGGACUCUGGGGGAAGUAUGGUCGCAAGGCUGAAACUUGAAGGAAUUGACGGAAGGGCACCACCAGGAGUGGAGCCUGCGGCUUAAUUUGACCCAACACGGGGUAACUUACCAGGUCCAGAGAUGUAGAGGACUGACAGAUUGAAGCUCUU
Molecule: ribosomal RNA, 1274 nt
Filed under: metagenome
Description: SSU rRNA
Rfam family: Eukaryotic small subunit ribosomal RNA
Source: RNAcentral